This 550-nucleotide ribosomal RNA is filed under the name Staphylococcus aureus. Its description in RNAcentral is "partial 23S ribosomal RNA". It matches the Rfam family "Bacterial large subunit ribosomal RNA", at positions 898 to 1452 of the family's 2925-position model. The record is from RNAcentral. Lineage: Bacteria; Bacillati; Bacillota; Bacilli; Caryophanales; Staphylococcaceae.
GGAGGUAGAGCACUGUUUGGACGAGGGGCCCCUCUCGGGUUACCGAAUUCAGACAAACUCCGAAUGCCAAUUAAUUUAACUUGGGAGUCAGAACAUGGGUGAUAAGGUCCGUGUUCGAAAGGGAAACAGCCCAGACCACCAGCUAAGGUCCCAAAAUAUAUGUUAAGUGGAAAAGGAUGUGGCGUUGCCCAGACAACUAGGAUGUUGGCUUAGAAGCAGCCAUCAUUUAAAGAGUGCGUAAUAGCUCACUAGUCGAGUGACACUGCGCCGAAAAUGUACCGGGGCUAAACAUAUUACCGAAGCUGUGGAUUGUCCUUUGGACAAUGGUAGGAGAGCGUUCUAAGGGCGUUGAAGCAUGAUCGUAAGGACAUGUGGAGCGCUUAGAAGUGAGAAUGCCGGUGUGAGUAGCGAAAGACGGGUGAGAAUCCCGUCCACCGAUUGACUAAGGUUUCCAGAGGAAGGCUCGUCCGCUCUGGGUUAGUCGGGUCCUAAGCUGAGGCCGACAGGCGUAGGCGAUGGAUAACAGGUUGAUAUUCCUGUACCACCUAUA